Molecule: long non-coding RNA, 238 nt
Filed under: Lathyrus oleraceus (garden pea)
Lineage: Eukaryota; Viridiplantae; Streptophyta; Magnoliopsida; Fabales; Fabaceae
Description: Pisum sativum (pea) long non-coding RNA (PSAT_LNC038967)
Source: RNAcentral
UUGUAAUUUGGAUGUAAGUUUAAAUUGACAUUAUAUUGAUUUGAAUAAUGGAAUUUGAAUGGAAUGUAUGGAAAGUUUGAAAUUGUAUCGAAUGGAUUUUGCAAUUUUUAUGGAAAGUGUAUGAAUGGAAAGUAUAUAAUUGGAAAAAUCAUGAAUGGAAAGUAUAUAAUUGGAAAAAUCAUGAAUGGAAAGCAUGUAUUGAAUGGAUUAUGGAAAGAUUAUUUGAAAAUUGAAUAUG